CUUUCAGAGCCACUGACACGCAGCACAAUGAUGAUGUCACUGAUUCUACUGCUGGGAACACUGGGACUCCUUGUUCAGGAAUCAUCAGCAGAUAUCAUUCUGACUCAGUCUCCUAAAUCUCAGUCUGUUAGUCUAGGAGAGUUUGUCUCUCUCAGCUGUACAGCCAGUUCAAGUACUGGUAAUGUGCUUAGCUGGUACCUGCAGAAACCUGGAGAAGCUCCUAAACUCCUGGUUUAUCAUGGUACAAAACGUCAGUCUGGGAUUCCAGGUCGUUUCAGUGGGAGUGGAUCUGUUAGUCCUUAUACUCAUUACACUCUGACCAUCAGUGGAGUCCAGGCUGAAGAUGCAGGAGAUUACUACUGUCAGCAGGGUGGCAGCACUCCGUUCACACAGUGUUAGAGCGUCUUACAAAAACCUCCCUCAGCUAAAGAGGAACUGCUCUGACUCAACAGCUGCAGAGCUACAGAGUCUCCCGUAUUCUAAAGUAUUCUAAACACCAAUUCUUUGAAAUAUGACACAUACUGGUACAUAUCUCUCAUUAUAUUCUCCAAAAAUAUCUAAUCUUUGUAAACACACUGGGACCAAUAAGGAUACAGAGCUGUAGAAAAUGCUUUCUUUUGAAGGACAUGUUAAGCAAAGUUCAGAAUUGGUUUACAUUUACGCUUGUAAGAAGAACCCAUUUCAGUACACAGCAGCAUGAUGUUGACCCUGUCUGAACCGAACUAUUCAUGCCCUACUCAACUUCCAUACCCCUCCAACCUUGAAAGAGUGAAUACAGUCAUAUAAUUUGCAUUCAAUAAAUACUACUUUGACAUCAAUUUGAUACAGUAUAUCACAUGGUUUCAGCAUUAGUAUCACUGUAGAUAUUCUUUUGACUGGCACCAAACUUGGCCCAAUCAGCUAAGCAUUCAUUCAGAGAGGUUCAUUAACUGAAAUGUACCAGUAGCAUUAUUUUUCACGAUACCUGUGUGGAUCUAUACUCUCCUGGACGACUUGACUCUGCAAGCUAGCCACCAUGCUGCUCUACCUCAGCCU
Molecule: non-coding RNA, 1035 nt
Organism: Oncorhynchus keta (chum salmon)
Lineage: Eukaryota; Metazoa; Chordata; Actinopteri; Salmoniformes; Salmonidae
Source: the annotation of a RefSeq genome assembly